Molecule: small nuclear RNA, 118 nt
Organism: Lottia gigantea (owl limpet)
Lineage: Eukaryota; Metazoa; Mollusca; Gastropoda; Lottiidae
Rfam family: U5 spliceosomal RNA
About the family: U5 RNA is a component of both types of known spliceosome.
Source: Rfam
UUACUCUGGUUUCUCCUCAUUUUCCGAGUAAAUCUUUCGCCUUUUACUAAAGAUUUCCGUGGGGAGGAACAUUCUAAUGAGUCUAUAGACAAUUUGUGAAACCCUACGUAUGUGGGGU